RNAcentral lists this ribosomal RNA (893 nucleotides) under Salmonella enterica subsp. enterica serovar Paratyphi A. Its description in RNAcentral is "bacterial SSU rRNA". The stretch from base 1 to 725 matches the Rfam family "Bacterial small subunit ribosomal RNA", at positions 795 to 1533 of the family's 1533-position model. Lineage: Bacteria; Pseudomonadati; Pseudomonadota; Gammaproteobacteria; Enterobacterales; Enterobacteriaceae. The record is from RNAcentral.
ACGGGCCGUAGGAUGUCGACUUGGAGGUUGUGCCCUUGAGGCGUGGCUUCCGGAGCUAACGCGUUAAGUCGACCGCCUGGGGAGUACGGCCGCAAGGUUAAAACUCAAAUGAAUUGACGGGGGCCCGCACAAGCGGUGGAGCAUGUGGUUUAAUUCGAUGCAACGCGAAGAACCUUACCUACUCUUGACAUCCACAGAACUUUCCAGAGAUGGAUUGGUGCCUUCGGGAACUGUGAGACAGGUGCUGCAUGGCUGUCGUCAGCUCGUGUUGUGAAAUGUUGGGUUAAGUCCCGCAACGAGCGCAACCCUUAUCCUUUGUUGCCAGCGCGUAAUGGCGGGAACUCAAAGGAGACUGCCGGUGAUAAACCGGAGGAAGGUGGGGAUGACGUCAAGUCAUCAUGGCCCUUACGAGUAGGGCUACACACGUGCUACAAUGGCAUAUACAAAGAGAAGCGAACUCGCGAGAGCAAGCGGACCUCAUAAAGUAUGUCGUAGUCCGGAUCGGAGUCUGCAACUCGACUCCGUGAAGUCGGAAUCGCUAGUAAUCGUAGAUCAGAAUGCUACGGUGAAUACGUUCCCGGGCCUUGUACACACCGCCCGUCACACCAUGGGAGUGGGUUGCAAAAGAAGUAGGUAGCUUAACCUUCGGGAGGGCGCUUACCACUUUGUGAUUCAUGACUGGGUGAAGUCGUACAGGAAACCGUAAAUGUUAUGCCACAUCCUGCAGCAUGAGACGCGUGACCUGUAGCAUCCAUCUGUCUGGCGCACGUAUUCUGCUCUUACACACUCAGCUGCUCUCGUCUAGCGAGAGUAGCUCUUCUGCCGCUCGACAGCAUUUGCUUGCGCUAGGCAGCGACAAUCUCAAUGUACGCCGGGAAUUUACAUAAUAGAUG